AUUGAACGCUGGCGGCAGGCCUAACACAUGCAAGUCGAGCGGAUGAAGGGAGCUUGCUCCUGGAUUCAGCGGCGGACGGGUGAGUAAUGCCUAUGAAUCUGCCUGGUAGUGGGGGAUAACGUCCGGAAACGGGCGCUAAUAACGCAUACGUCCUGAGGGAGCAAGUGGGGGAUCUUUGGACCUCACGCUAUCAGAUGAGCCUAGGCCGGAUUAGCUAGUUGGUGGGGUAAAGGCCUACCAAGGCGACGAUCCGUAACUGGUCUGAGUGGAUGAUCAGUCACACGGGAAGGGAGACACGGUCCAGACGCCUAAGAGAGGCAGCAGUGGGGAAUAUUGGACAAUGGGCGAAAGCCUGAUCCAGCCAGGCCGCGUGUGUGAAGAAGGUCUUCGGAGUGGAAAGCACGUUAAGUUGGGAGGAAGGGCAGUAAGUUAAUACCUUGCUGUUUUGACGUUACCGACAGAAUAAGCACCGGCUAACUUCGUG
RNAcentral lists this ribosomal RNA (484 nucleotides) under uncultured bacterium. RNAcentral describes it as "partial 16S ribosomal RNA". It matches the Rfam family "Bacterial small subunit ribosomal RNA", at positions 30 to 507 of the family's 1533-position model. The record is from RNAcentral.